Non-coding RNA from Acanthosepion pharaonis, 122 nucleotides. Lineage: Eukaryota; Metazoa; Mollusca; Cephalopoda; Sepiida; Sepiidae. The record is from the annotation of a GenBank genome assembly.
UACAGCCAUAUCACGAUAAAACACCGGUUCCCGUAUGACCACCGAAGUUAAGCAACGUCGAGCCUAGUCAGUACCUAGAUUACCUAGAUUAGUGACCGCGUGGGAAUAUCAGGUGCUGUAAG